AGCGAACGCUGGCGGCAGGCUUAACACAUGCAAGUCGAGCGGGCAUCCUUGUGGUGUCAGCGGCAGACGGGUGAGUAACGCGUGGGAACGUGCCCUUCGGUUCGGAAUAACUCAGGGAAACUUGAGCUAAUACCGGAUACGUGCGAGAGCAGAAAGGUUUAUCUGCCGAAGGAUCGGCCCGCGUCUGAUUAGCUAGUUGGUGAGGUUAUGGCUCACCAAGGCGACGAUCAGUAGCUGGUCUGAGAGGAUGAUCAGCCACACUGGGACUGAGACACGGCCCAGAAUCCUACGGGAGGCAGCAGUGGGGAAUAUUGGACAAUGGGGGCAACCCUGAUCCAGCCAUGCCGCGUGAGUGAUGACGGCCUUAGGGUUGUAAAGCUCUUUUCUCCGGGACGAUAAUGACGGUACCGGAGGAAUAAGCCCCGGCUAACUUCGUG
This 437-nucleotide ribosomal RNA is filed under the name uncultured bacterium. RNAcentral describes it as "partial 16S ribosomal RNA". It matches the Rfam family "Bacterial small subunit ribosomal RNA", at positions 29 to 507 of the family's 1533-position model. The record is from RNAcentral.